GAUGAAGAACGUAGCGAAAUGCGAUACUUGGUGUGAAUUGCAGAAUCCCGUGAACCAUCGAGUCUUUGAACGCAAGUUGCGCCCGAAGCCAUUAGGCCGAGGGCACGCCUGCCUGGGCGUCACACGUCGUUGCCCCCCCAUCUACUCCUUCGGGAUUGCGGGGGGCGGAUGAUGGCCUCCCGUGCGCCUCGCCGCGCGGUUGGCAUAAAUGCCAAGUCCUCGGCGACGCACGCCACGACAAUCGGUGGUUGCGAAACCUCGGUUGCCCGUCGUGUGCGGUCGUCGCGCAUCGAGGGCUCGAAAAAAUUGCCGGGUUCCGGCUCGGCUUUCAACGCGACCCCAGGUCAGGCGGGGUUACCCGCUGAAUUUGAGCAUAUCAAUAAGCGGAGGA
RNAcentral lists this unclassified non-coding RNA (391 nucleotides) under soil metagenome. RNAcentral describes it as "partial contains 5.8S ribosomal RNA, internal transcribed spacer 2, and large subunit ribosomal RNA". The stretch from base 1 to 122 matches the Rfam family "5.8S ribosomal RNA", at positions 35 to 154 of the family's 154-position model. The record is from RNAcentral.